RNAcentral lists this ribosomal RNA (468 nucleotides) under uncultured bacterium. Its description in RNAcentral is "partial 16S ribosomal RNA". It matches the Rfam family "Bacterial small subunit ribosomal RNA", at positions 28 to 507 of the family's 1533-position model. The record is from RNAcentral.
GACGAACGCUGGCGGCGUGCUUAACACAUGCAAGUCGAACGGAAAGGCCCUGCUUUUGUGGGGUGCUCGAGUGGCGAACGGGUGAGUAACACGUGAGUAACCUGCCCUUGACUUUGGGAUAACUUCAGGAAACUGGGGCUAAUACCGGAUAGGAGCUCCUGCUGCAUGGUGGGGGUUGGAAAGUUUCGGCGGUUGGGGAUGGACUCGCGGCUUAUCAGCUUGUUGGUGGGGUAGUGGCUUACCAAGGCUUUGACGGGUAGCCGGCCUGAGAGGGUGACCGGCGACAUUGGGACUGAGGUACGGCCCAGACUCCUACGGGAGGCAGCAGUGGGGAAUAUUGCACAAUGGGCGGAAGCCGGAUGCAGAAACGCCGCGUGCGGGAUGACGGCCUUCGGGGUGUAAACCGCUUUCGCCUGUGACGAAGCGUGAGUGACGGUAAUGGGUAAAGAAGCACCGGCUAACUACGUG